AUGCAUGUUUUGACCCUGGGCCUUUCUUGGCUUCUCCUUUUCUAUGGAGUGGACAAGUACAAACAUGCUAGAUUAACAUUUAAACAUUUGGGAGUUAACAGGGCCACCAGUCUAUCAAGGUCAGGCUGAGUUGGUAGUAUAAUACUCCCACAUUC
This is a small nucleolar RNA of Amphiprion ocellaris (clown anemonefish), 155 nucleotides long. The record is from Ensembl. Lineage: Eukaryota; Metazoa; Chordata; Actinopteri; Pomacentridae.